AGAGUUUGAUCCUGGCUCAGAAUGAACGUUGGCGGCGUGGAUUAGGCAUGCAAGUCGUACGGUAAGCUUCGGCUUAUAGUGGCGAAAGGGAGAGUAACGCGUGGUUACAUGCCCUCGGGACCGGGAUAGCGGCGGGAAACUGCCGGUAAUACCGGAUAAUAUCUUUGGAUCAAAGGUGUGAUUCCGCCCGAGGAUUGGACCGCGUUCUAUUAGCUUGUUGGCGGGGUAAUGGCCCACCAAGGCGACGAUGGAUACCGGGUGUGAGAGCAUGGCCCGGCUCACUGGGACUGAGACACUGCCCAGACACCUACGGGUGGCUGCAGUCGAGAAUCUUCGGCAAUGGGGGCAACCCUGACCGAGCGACGCCGCGUGCGGGACGAAGGCCUUCGGGUUGUAAACCGCUGUCAGUUGGGAGGAAGUGCCGGGGGGUUCUCCCCUCGGUUUGACCGAUCUUCAGAGGAAGGACGGGCUAAGUUCGUGCCAGCAGCCGCGGUAAGACGAACCGUCCAAACGUUAUUCGGUAUCACUGGGCUUAAAGCGUGCGUAGGCGGCCUGGUAGGUGAGGUGUGAAAGCCCACGGCUCAACCGUGGAAUUGCGCUUCAAACCACCAGGCUGGAGGAUGGCAGGGGUGAUGGGAACUGAUGGUGGAGCGGUGAAAUGCGUUGAUAUCAUCAGGAACACCGGUGGCGAAGGCGCAUCACUGGGCCAUUUCUGACGCUGAGGCACGAAAGCUAGGGUAGCGAACGGGAUUAGAUACCCCGGUAGUCCUAGCUGUAAACGAUGAGCACUGGGUUGAGGGGACCUCCACAUCUUCUCGGCCGUAGCGAAAGCGUUAAGUGCUCCGCCUGGGGAGUAUGGCCGCAAGGCUGAAACUCAAAGGAAUUGACGGGGGCUCACACAAGCGGUGGAGGAUGUGGCUUAAUUCGAGGCUACGCGAAGAACCUUAUCCUAGACUUGACAUGCUUAAGAAUCUUCUGG
RNAcentral lists this ribosomal RNA (979 nucleotides) under uncultured bacterium. RNAcentral describes it as "bacterial SSU rRNA". It matches the Rfam family "Bacterial small subunit ribosomal RNA", at positions 8 to 1003 of the family's 1533-position model. The record is from RNAcentral.